ACGCUCCGGUAUCGUGGCUCUUUACCUGUGAUUUACAUGUUAUAUUUAAGCAGCUCGCGAUGCCUGCCAGGCGCUGAGGAUGUGCGCUUCCAAUUUCUCAACACUGGAUUGUGCAGAGCAGAGGUGCUCGAGGCUUCAGAACGUUAAGCAAACAACUCGACUAUGUUUCAGAGUCAUAGAAUACAUUGACAAUAUCACAUGCGUCUGCUGUUCAAACAGUGCACAGCUGCACAAGCAUUCUAGGUACUUGCGCUUUUUCUUGUAAGGUGAGAGGUCGGCAAAUGGUAUGCAUUUGAAGACUCUUACCGAUCUGCCAGAUACUUUUGGAUAAAACUACGUAGUACUGUCGACCUCAACCAUGCUCAGAGGUCCCGGGUGCAAUGCCUGUGAGGAUGUCGAACUUGGCGAGUAUCCCACUGCAGAACACAUGUCAUCGACGUCUGUCCCUUUAAGCAAUUCAAUCUGAGCAGAGAGAUUCCUCGUAUUCCAACAUCUGGGUAGAAUUUGCA
RNAcentral lists this long non-coding RNA (509 nucleotides) under Coccomyxa subellipsoidea. RNAcentral's name for it is "long non-coding RNA (CSUB_LNC000438)". The record is from RNAcentral. Lineage: Eukaryota; Viridiplantae; Chlorophyta; Trebouxiophyceae; Coccomyxaceae.